UACGAAGGGUGCAACGUUGCUCGGAAUUAUUGGGCGUAAAGCGCACGUAGGCGGCAUUGCAAGUCCCAUGUGAAAUCCCACGGCUUAACCGUGGAAGUGCAUGGGAAACUGCAGUGCUUGAGUACUUAAGAGGAUCGCGGAAUUCCCGGUGUAGAGGUGAAAUUCGUAGAUAUUCGCAAGAACACCAGUGGCGAAGGCGGCUCACUGGCCCGGUACUGACGCUGAGGUGCGAAAGCGUGGGGAGC
RNAcentral lists this ribosomal RNA (245 nucleotides) under uncultured bacterium. RNAcentral describes it as "partial 16S ribosomal RNA". It matches the Rfam family "Bacterial small subunit ribosomal RNA", at positions 524 to 769 of the family's 1533-position model. The record is from RNAcentral.